Molecule: ribosomal RNA, 267 nt
Filed under: uncultured Bifidobacterium sp.
Lineage: Bacteria; Bacillati; Actinomycetota; Actinomycetes; Bifidobacteriales; Bifidobacteriaceae
Description: partial 16S ribosomal RNA
Rfam family: Bacterial small subunit ribosomal RNA
Source: RNAcentral
AUCGGGCUUUGCUUGGUGGUGAGAGUGGCGAACGGGUGAGUAAUGCGUGACCGACCUGCCCCAUGCUCCGGAAUAGCUCCUGGAAACGGGUGGUAAUGCCGGAUGUUCCACAUGAUCGCAUGUGAUUGUGGGAAAGAUUCUAUCGGCGUGGGAUGGGGUCGCGUCCUAUCAGCUUGUUGGUGAGGUAACGGCUCACCAAGGCUUCGACGGGUAGCCGGCCUGAGAGGGCGACCGGCCACAUUGGGACUGAGAUACGGCCCAGACUCC